CCUACGGGAGGCAGCAGUGGGGAAUAUUGGACAAUGGGGGCAACCCUGAUCCAGCCAUGCCGCGUGUGUGAAGAAGGCCCUCGGGUUGUAAAGCACUUUCAGUGAGGAAGAACGCCUGGUGGUUAAUACCCAUCAGGAAAGACAUCACUCACAGAAGAAGCACCGGCUAACUCCGUGCCAGCAGCCGCGGUAAUACGGAGGGUGCGAGCGUUAAUCGGAAUUACUGGGCGUAAAGCGCGCGUAGGUGGCUUGAUAAGCCGGUUGUGAAAGCCCCGGGCUCAACCUGGGAACGGCAUCCGGAACUGUCAAGCUAGAGUGCAGGAGAGGAAGGUAGAAUUCCCGGUGUAGCGGUGAAAUGCGUAGAGAUCGGGAGGAAUACCGGUGGCGAAGGCGGCCUUCUGGACUGACACUGACACUGAGGUGCGAAAGCGUGGGUAGCAAACAGGAUUAGAUACCCUGGUAGUC
Molecule: ribosomal RNA, 465 nt
Filed under: Vreelandella stevensii
Lineage: Bacteria; Pseudomonadati; Pseudomonadota; Gammaproteobacteria; Oceanospirillales; Halomonadaceae
Description: partial 16S ribosomal RNA
Rfam family: Bacterial small subunit ribosomal RNA
Source: RNAcentral